UGAGUUUGAUCUGGCUCAGGACGAACGCUGGCGGCGUGCCUAAUACAUGCAAGUCGAACGAACUCUGGUAUUGAUUGGUGCUUGCAUCAUGAUUUACAUUUGAGUGAGUGGCGAACUGGUGAGUAACACGUGGGAAACCUGCCCAGAAGCGGGGGAUAACACCUGGAAACAGAUGCUAAUACCGCAUAACAACUUGGACCGCAUGGUCCGAGUUUGAAAGAUGGCUUCGGCUAUCACUUUUGGAUGGUCCCGCGGCGUAUUAGCUAGAUGGUGGGGUAACGGCUCACCAUGGCAAUGAUACGUAGCCGACCUGA
RNAcentral lists this ribosomal RNA (314 nucleotides) under Lactiplantibacillus plantarum. RNAcentral describes it as "bacterial SSU rRNA". It matches the Rfam family "Bacterial small subunit ribosomal RNA", at positions 1 to 295 of the family's 1533-position model. Lineage: Bacteria; Bacillati; Bacillota; Bacilli; Lactobacillales; Lactobacillaceae. The record is from RNAcentral.